Molecule: ribosomal RNA, 561 nt
Filed under: fungal sp. sF(I)4W-6
Lineage: Eukaryota; Fungi
Description: eukaryotic LSU rRNA
Rfam family: 5.8S ribosomal RNA (bases 214-367)
Source: RNAcentral
AGUCGUAACAAGGUCUCCGUAGGUGAACCUGCGGAGGGAUCAUUACAGAGUUCAUGCCCUUCGGGGUAGACCUCCCACCCUGUGUAUUUAUACCUUUGUUGCUUUGGCGGGCCGCGAGGCUCCGGCCCUGCUCCCGGCUUCGGCUGGGGAGUGCCCGCCAGAGGACCCCAAAACCUGAAUGUUAGUGUCGUCUGAGUACUAUAUAAUAGUUAAAACUUUCAACAACGGAUCUCUUGGUUCUGGCAUCGAUGAAGAACGCAGCGAAAUGCGAUAAGUAAUGUGAAUUGCAGAAUUCAGUGAAUCAUCGAAUCUUUGAACGCACAUUGCGCCCCUUGGUAUUCCGGGGGGCAUGCCUGUUCGAGCGUCAUUACAACCCUCAAGCUCUGCUUGGUAUUGGGCGUCACCGGCUCCGGUGUGCCCUAAAAUCAGUGGCGGCGCCGUCUGGCUCUAAGCGUAGUACAUACUCUCGCUAUGGACGCCCGGCGGAUGCUCGCCAGCAACCCCCAAUUUUUUAAGGUUGACCUCGGAUCAGGUAGGGAUACCCGCUGAACUUAAGCAUAU